UGGGGGAUAUUGCACAAUGGACGAAAGUCUGAUGCAGCGACGUCGUGUGGGGGAUGAAGGCCUUCGGGUUGUAAACUCCUUUCGCCCGCGGAAAAGGCAGGGUUUUGGCCUUGUUGAUGGUAGUGGGUAAAGAAGCGCCGGCUAACUACGUGCCAGCAGCCGCGGUAAUACGUAGGGCGCGAGAGUUGUCCGGAAUUAUUGGGCGUAAAGGGCUCGUAGGCGGUUUGUCGCGUCUAGCGUUUAAGGCUCGGGCUUAACCCGGGUUUGCGUUGGGUACGGGCAGGCUUGAGUGAGGUAGGGGUAACUGGAAUUCCUGGUGUAGCGGUGGAAGGCGCAGAUAACAGGAGGAACACCGGUAGCGAAGGCGGGUUACUGGGCCGUUACUGACGCUGAGGAGCGAGAGCGUAGGGAGCGAACAGG
Molecule: ribosomal RNA, 420 nt
Filed under: bacterium
Lineage: Bacteria
Description: partial 16S ribosomal RNA
Rfam family: Bacterial small subunit ribosomal RNA
Source: RNAcentral